RNAcentral lists this ribosomal RNA (253 nucleotides) under uncultured bacterium. RNAcentral describes it as "partial 16S ribosomal RNA". It matches the Rfam family "Bacterial small subunit ribosomal RNA", at positions 524 to 776 of the family's 1533-position model. The record is from RNAcentral.
UACAGAGGUCUCAAGCGUUGUUCGGAAUUACUGGGCGUAAAGGGUGCGCAGGCCGCGCGGGCAGUCAAAUGUGUAAUCCAGGGGCUCAACCCCUGAACUGCGCUUGAUACUUCCGCGCUCGAGCUUUGGAGAGGAGUCUGGAAUUCUCGGUGUAGCAGUGAAAUGCGUGGAUAUCGAGAAGAACACUUAGGGCGUAGGAAAGACUCUGGACAAAUGCUGACGCUCAUGCACGAAGGCUAGGGUAGCGAACGGG